RNAcentral lists this ribosomal RNA (270 nucleotides) under uncultured bacterium. RNAcentral describes it as "partial 16S ribosomal RNA". The record is from RNAcentral.
CUGCUGCCUCCCGUAGGAGUUUGGACCGUGUCUCAGUUCCAAUGUGGGGGACCUUCCUCUCAGAACCCCUACGCAUCGUCGGCUUGGUGGGCCGUUGCCCCACCAACUACCUAAUGCGCCGCAUGCCCAUCCGUGACCGGAGUCGCCUCCUUUGGCCGGAAAGGGAUGUCCCUUCCCGGCGUCAUGCUGUAUUAGGCGGGAUUUCUCCCGGUUAUCCAUCUGUCACGGCCAGGUUGCAUACGUGUUACUCACCCGUGCGCCGGUCGCCGG